Molecule: non-coding RNA, 123 nt
Organism: Hordeum vulgare subsp. vulgare (domesticated barley)
Lineage: Eukaryota; Viridiplantae; Streptophyta; Magnoliopsida; Poales; Poaceae
Source: Rfam
UAGCUGCUCUUACGUCCGGAAAUACUUAUUCUAGAGAUGAAUGUAUUUAGACUUAUUUUAAUUAUAGAUACAUUCAUUAUAUGCAUUUUUAGGACAAUUAUUUUCGGACGGAGGGAGUAGUUU